This 446-nucleotide ribosomal RNA is filed under the name uncultured bacterium. RNAcentral's name for it is "partial 16S ribosomal RNA". It matches the Rfam family "Bacterial small subunit ribosomal RNA", at positions 330 to 793 of the family's 1533-position model. The record is from RNAcentral.
CCCAGACUCCUACGGGAGGCAGCAGUGGGGAAUAUUGCACAAUGGGGGAAACCCUGAUGCAGCGGCGCCGCGUGAGCGAAGAAGUAUUUCGGUAUGUAAAGCUCUAUCAGCAGGGAAGAAAUUGACGGUACCUGAGUAAGAAGCUCCGGCUAAAUACGUGCCAGCAGCCGCGGUAAUACGUAGGGGGCAAGCGUUAUCCGGAUUUACUGGGUGUAAAGGGAGCGUAGACGGCGGUGCAAGCCAGAUGUGAAAGCCCGGGGCUCAACUCCGGGACUGCUUUUGAAACUGUAUGGCUAGAUUGCAGGAGAGGCAAGUGGAAUUCCUAGUGUAGCGGUGAAAUGCGUAGAUAUUAGGAGGAACACCAGUGGCGAAGGCGGCCUGCUGGACGAUGACUGACGCUGAGGCUCGAAAGCGUGGGGAGCAAACAGGAUUAGAUACCCUUGUAG